This 73-nucleotide transfer RNA is filed under the name Acropora cervicornis. Its description in RNAcentral is "tRNA-Thr". It matches the Rfam family "tRNA". Rfam says of the family: Transfer RNA (tRNA) molecules are approximately 80 nucleotides in length. Lineage: Eukaryota; Metazoa; Cnidaria; Anthozoa; Scleractinia; Acroporidae. The record is from RNAcentral.
GGCUUCAUAGCUUAGUUGGUUACAGCGUCGCACCAGUAUCGCGAGGUCACAGGUUCAAACUCCGUUGAAGUCC